CCGGAGGGAGGGAGGCGGGCAGAGGAGGGGAGAUGGGCACCCCCAGUUUUUCCAUCCUCCUCAUUCGUCUAGGGGCACCCGAAUCCCCUAUUCCUUAUUUCCCCUAUCACUCAGGCACUGGCAGGGUCCUUUUCCCACUCCUGUUGGCCGCCGCGGCUCCAAAGCGAGCUGGGCAGAUGUGCCUGAGACAGGUUUGACCAGGCAACUGAAAAUAUAUCCCUAAGAGAAGACAAAACAAAGAUAUGAAAGGAACACACUUCCCUGACUGACUAGGAGGAACAGAGCUGCCUGCUGACUGGAACCGCUUCCUCCCAGACUAAGGAGGCUGACCUCUGCAGACUGUGUCACCUGGGCCCCCUGAUCUCUCGGCCAAUAGAGGUCCCAGCUGAGAACGGGGAGAGAGGAGUCAGGGGUUUCCCAGAGGAAGAGAGAGAAUUUGGACAAAUGAAUGAGGAACAACGCUCUCCUGAGGGUUUUCUUUAAGGGGCAAGGAUCAAUGCCUCUAGAUCCUUUGAAAGCAGAGUUAAGAGGCAGUGCAGGAAGGCACAGCAGGAAGGUUCAUGGUUAGACUACAGAGAAGGAAGCAGCCACUGCUGGGGACCUACCCUGUGCUGGUCACUGACAAGCUGUCUCAUUAAACCUUCCCGGACCCUCA
This 655-nucleotide long non-coding RNA is filed under the name Homo sapiens (human). Its description in RNAcentral is "HSALNT0400611". The record is from RNAcentral. Lineage: Eukaryota; Metazoa; Chordata; Mammalia; Primates; Hominidae.